ACUGAGCAAUCACGAGCCCAGCCUUGGUCGAGAGACCCGGGUAAUCUUGUAACCUGCGUCGUGAUGGGGCUAGACUCUUGCAAUUAUUAGUCUUCAACGAGGAAUGCCUAGUAAGCGCGAGUCAUCAGCUCGCGUUGAUUACGUCCCUGCCCUUUGUACACACCGCCCGUCGCUCCUACCGAUUGGAUGUGCUGGUGAAGCCCUAGGACUGGCGGCCUUUGGUGGUUCUCCGCCGACGGUCGCCGGGAAUUCGGUUAAACCCUCCCAUCUAGAGGAAGGAGAAGUCGUAACAAGGUCUCCGUAGGUGAACCUGCGGAGGGAUCAUUGAAUCUAUCGUAUUGUAUACCCGCUAACCCAGACGUUGUGUUCCCUCGGUGCGGGCCCCUUGUGGGACCGCCCGAGCGCUUGUUCCUGGCCCAGCCACUGGCCGACCCGUUUGCGGUCGGUGAAGCCUGGGCAAAGGUCUUGCGGUGUGGGACCCUGCCUCUCCCCAGGGAGAGGGGGGCUGGCCUUCACGGCUGGCCUCGCCCGCUGGACAAAAUACCCACUCUAACCACACACCAAACAAAGCUGAAGCUUUGAGGAAGCCUCACGGCCGACUCACAAACCUAGACAACUCUCAACAACGGAUAUCUUGGCUCCCGCAACGAUGAAGAACGCAGCGAAAUGCGAUACUUAAUGUGAAUUGCAGAAUUCCGUGAAUCAUCGAGUCUUUGAACGCAUAUUGCGCCCGAGGCUUCGGUCAAGGGCAUGUCUGCCUCAGCGUCGGUUGACCCCUCUCGUCCACUUCCCUCGUGGAAGCAGACGGACCUGGCAGUCCCGCUGGCGACAGCGGGUCUGCUGCAGAACAGACGACGAGCCAGCCGCAGCGCCGCUCGAUUGGUAGGUUUUCUCCGGAAGACAUGCCGUCGAGUAGCCUGGGGACCAACUGCUCGUCCUACUAACGACGGGGGAGCGCGCAAGCCAUCCCCCUGACUCUCAUUUCAACCUGAG
Molecule: ribosomal RNA, 993 nt
Filed under: Chloroidium saccharophilum
Lineage: Eukaryota; Viridiplantae; Chlorophyta; Trebouxiophyceae; Watanabeales; Watanabeaceae
Description: eukaryotic LSU rRNA
Rfam family: Eukaryotic small subunit ribosomal RNA (bases 1-327)
Source: RNAcentral